GUGAGUGGCGGACGGGUGAGUAACACGUGGGUAACCUGCCCAUUAGAGGGGGAUAACACUUGGAAACAGGUGCUAAUACCGCAUAAUUGUUUUAGCCGCAUGGCUGAGGUAUGAAAGACGCUUUCGGGUGUCACUAAUGGAUGGACCCGCGCUGCAUUAGUUAGUUGGUGAGGUAAUGGCUCACCAAGACCGUGAUGCAUAGCCGACCUGAGAGGGUGAUCGGCCACACUGGGACUGAGACACGGCCCAGACUCCUACGGGAGGCAGCAGUAGGGAAUCUUCGGCAAUGGACGAAAGUCUGACCGAGCAACGCCGCGUGAGUGAAGAAGGUUUUCGGAUCGUAAAACUCUGUUGUUAGAGAAGAACAAGUGGGAGAGUAACUGUUCCCACCUUGACGGUAUCUAACCAGAAAGCCACGGCUAACUACGUGCCAGCAGCCGCGGUAAUACGUAGGUGGCAAGCGUUGUCCGGAUUUAUUGGGCGUAAAGCGAGCGCAGGUGGUUCUUUAAGUCUGAUGUGAAAGCCCCCGGCUCAACCGGGGAGGGUCAUUGGAAACUGGGGAACUUGAGUGCAGAAGAGGAGAGUGGAAUUCCAUGUGUAGCGGUGAAAUGCGUAGAUAUAUGGAGG
Molecule: ribosomal RNA, 627 nt
Filed under: uncultured Vagococcus sp.
Lineage: Bacteria; Bacillati; Bacillota; Bacilli; Lactobacillales; Enterococcaceae
Description: bacterial SSU rRNA
Rfam family: Bacterial small subunit ribosomal RNA
Source: RNAcentral